This 389-nucleotide long non-coding RNA is filed under the name Mytilus galloprovincialis (Mediterranean mussel). Lineage: Eukaryota; Metazoa; Mollusca; Bivalvia; Mytilida; Mytilidae. The record is from RNAcentral.
UUUGGACAUCCAAGUUUCAAGUUUCACCCCGGCAACUUGUUUUUCUAAUGACCUUGUAAGCCAAUUUUCAACACGAAGUUUGCAAAUUUGACGUUUUAGCCAUUUUAGCCUGUAUUUUAUACUGCAAUGUUAAAAGCCUCUCGCUUCGAUUUUCAAAAUAGCUCAGGAACCUUGAUUUUUGCAACGACAGUCAUUAUGUUUCGUUUAAAUGGUGUAUAUUGUUGUGUAUAUUUAUUUUCUGCCCCGGCAACCUGUCUAUCACUUAAAUUAAAGUUAAAAUAGACAUUUUUUCAAAAAUCUCUAUCAUUUCAAUAUAAUUUCCGUGACCCGUAUCCGUUUUUAUUAGUAUAAUAUUCAAAUGAGCAAAGUGGCGUUGAUUUCUGGAUAUG